Molecule: ribosomal RNA, 460 nt
Filed under: uncultured bacterium
Lineage: Bacteria
Description: partial 16S ribosomal RNA
Rfam family: Bacterial small subunit ribosomal RNA
Source: RNAcentral
CCUACGGGAGGCAGCAGUGAGGAAUAUUGGUCAAUGGCCGUAAGGCUGAACCAGCCAAGUAGCGUGAAGGAAGACGGAUCUAUGGUUUGUAAACUUCUUUUAUAGGGGAAUAAAGGUAUCCACGUGUGGAUAUUUGCAUGUACCCUAUGAAUAAGCAUCGGCUAACUCCGUGCCAGCAGCCGCGGUAAUACGGAGGAUGCGAGCGUUAUCCGGAUUUAUUGGGUUUAAAGGGUGCGUAGGUUGUUUGUUAAGUCAGCUGUGAAAGUUUGUGGCUCAACCAUAAAAUUGCCGUUGAAACUGGAAGUCUUGAGUGUGGUUGAGGUAGGCGGAAUGCGUGGUGUAGCGGUGAAAUGCAUAGAUAUCACGCAGAACUCCGAUUGCGAAGGCAGUUUACUAAGCCAUAACUGACACUGAAGCACGAAAGCGUGGGGAUCAAACAGGAUUAGAUACCCUUGUAGUC